UAUGCACCAUCCUGCAGUUGCACUCUCUCUGCACCUGUGUGCUCUCGCAGUGCAGUCUGCAGGCGCUGACGCUGUAGGUGUCGUAUCCUGGGAUCACAGGCUCAGAUGAAGCCCGACAGUUUCCCCACGGCUGUGGCAGGAAACAAAUGUCUGGAAUCCUGGAGAGACCCCAAAGCCCAGCUGGUGGAUGUAAGGGGUUCGUUCUGACUAUGAAUCUGAACCCGAAUACCUGCUUCCAGCGUCGUCUCAUCUGAAGAUGGACAAAUUGUAUUGGUUCUUCAUCUCAUGGCGGGUCUGAAUCUCUCUGCAUGCUCCCGUCCUAGAGCUGGAUGUUUUGAAAGUGUGUUCUCAUCUUGCCUUGGGCAGUGUAAGACAUCCUGGAACUCAGAGGCAGAUGUUGCAUCAGAGCUGGAGGGCUUGUCUUCAGCUCAUUUUUACCACUCAGAAACAGGCACUGACAGAAUUGCCUUUUAGAUUGUAUAAAAUCAGAGGUUUGGAUACAAUGUUUGUCCUGUUUUGUUGUAUUUACAGUAGGCUUUAUCUAGAAAUCUGUACUUUCAGUAUAAAACGAAAUUUGUUAAUCUUCAAUUUGAAAGGUGCCGAGAUGUACAAAAACACCUCAGCGUCCCACUUUGAAACCACCUGGAUCUCAUUCUCGCUCUUUUCUCUCUCUCUCUCUCUCUCUCUCUCUCUGCCUGUCCUUAUAAUGACCUCUCACUGGGACAGCUUGCCAUUACACAUUUAUCCAUCUCUAUCUUUUUGUGUGUUUGCUUUUUUGGUCAUGUUUUCCUAUCCACAAAGAUCAGCAGGCAUCUCAUCUGUCAGUCUUAGCCCUCAAACCUUUUAUUAAAGAGAUAAUGUCUAUCGAUUGACGUAAAUGUUAGACCUAACAUUGUGUCAGUUACAUCUCACUGUUUACUACACCCACAGAAUGCUAUACUGCAGACCAGAAACAGCAAAAAAAUUAAAAAUCUGCACAUGAAUUGUCCUGUCUCUUGGGAGCAACCAUUCGGGACACUGCACUGACAUCACAGCCUAGAGUCAAAAGAAAUGUCAGCAUUUCUGUCCUGUUGCUGAGAGAAGAGGGAAUGGGAUAUGGACCGAGCGCAUGCAUCACAUCAGGGACUUUUACAUAUUUACAACUGUAUGUGUAGAAGAUAACCAAAAAGAGAGCUCUGUAUUGCUUCCACCCCCGAUCGCAUUCUCACAUCCGAUGUCUUGUGUUGCAGAGCUCCGAAACAUUAAAACUGUCGGAAUUUGUUUCGAUCUAAAAAUGAUUUCCUUCAGCAAUUUAAAACCUGUCUGAACAAGAGUGUUUUCCACCACAUAUCAGGAAACAGAUCAAAGCACCCAAUGACAGUGUGGAAUCUUUUGUGUUUGUGUCGUGCAUAAUGCGUCUGCUUGGUGACAGGUCAUUUCUGUGUAAUUAUGACAGCUGUGGUUGGUUACGGCCAUUUGGGUGACAGAGGGUGUCGGCAUACCGUAGCACCCGAACUGUCAUAUCUGUGAUAUAAUGGGUUAUUUACACUGAUAUCUUAGGGGCAAAGAAUAUAAAAAAGACGAUGAGAAACAGAGCAAGAGGAAACAGAUAAAACAAAGUACAUGAAAAGAAAGCACAUUUUAAAAGACGAGAUGGUGGAACUUAAUUAACAACUGGAUUUUUAGUUGAUUUUACUUCAUCAACCAUUAAUUAUUUAAAAGAAAAAAGAAAAAAAGAUCCCUUUAUUCACUCACUACCAUUCAAAACUUUGAGGUCAUUGCGAUGUUUUCAAAAGAAGUCUCUUCUGCUUACCAAGGGUGCAGUUAUUUGAUAAAAAAUACAGUAAAAAGUAGUCAUUCUUUUUUAAUUGUAACACUCGGGCUGAGAUGCAUUUACACCUGGUAUUUUAAUCCGUCUCUUUUGUCCACUUUCAACCACUUCUGUCCCUAUUUCUUUGAGCGGAUGGUCUAAGGACGGGUAAAUGUAUGUUUUUUUUUUUUUCAGAUCUUUCGAUCUAAUGAACAAAGUAAGUUUGUGCAAUUUAGAUAUGAACGCGCCUGGAGACAACGGAAAAACAUACUGAGAGCAUCAGCUUU
This is a long non-coding RNA of Megalobrama amblycephala (Wuchang bream), 2076 nucleotides long. RefSeq lists it as uncharacterized. Lineage: Eukaryota; Metazoa; Chordata; Actinopteri; Cypriniformes; Xenocyprididae. The record is from RefSeq and is a predicted model, not a curated record. The transcript is spliced from 3 exons.